ACGAAGGCUGCCGAGACGGGGGUCCGACGCGACAGCGUCCACCAACUCGCUGCCGUGUCCACCGUGGGCCUGCGCGCCAAGCCCCCACGGGGGUGACGCGCGGCGACAACGGGGACAUCUGCUCUUUCCGCCAGACUUUUUUGCUCCCUAUCUGUUUCAAAUAGGAACCGCGCAAAGGCCUCCAUAAGGCAGAGCGCGGUGGCCAGCGGCGCAUCCCUCGGGUCGCCGCCAAAGGCCGCCCGCGCACGCACAUAGUCCUCGCCAGCGCUGGCCUCCUGUCGGGCACCGGCGGUGCGUUGCGCGCGCCUCCGUGCGGCCCGCUCGGCCUCGUCCAUCAGGAGAGCGGCCUGCGAGGCACUGGCCCCACCGAGGGCAAUAGCCGUUCGGGGGUCGGCCCCAAUGAGGUAUCUCAUGAUUGCGCUUUGCAGUUCUCCGGGAAAGACCUCCUCGUAAGGCGCGAGUGCCGCCUCCCGCUGCGCAGCGUCGCCGAGCGGCGUCAGGAUGCGCGGCCGCUUAGCAGCCGGUCCUGGACCCAUGCCGGACGGCAUGCUGGGCGACGCGUUCAUGUCGACGAGUUGGCCAAGAGACGCCAACGUCGCCCAUGCAUCGACCUGUUGACGCCACGGAUGUCCACCCACGGCAGCGAGGGCGGCGCACUGCCCGAGUGGCGUCGCAGGCACGCGCGCACCAGGCACGGCGUCACGCGUGACCUCGGCCAGAACCUCUGCGUCGCGCGGCUCAAGCACGCCACCGGCCCACAAAGAGGCACAGAUGCGUGCGCCGGCCGCUUGGUGGGCAUACGCUGGUCGGGGGCGUCGCAUUUUUUUCUCUUUAUUUUCCCUUCUUCUUCUUCUUCUGUCUCGCCUUGCAGAGUGCGCGCCGACAAAAGCCGGACGCGCCGUCGAUCGCGCACGACGCGCACCCCCCCAAAGGCGACCUCUUUGAUUGUUUCCUCUUCACGCGCGAGUCGGCCCGUGCAGUCCCAAAGAAGACUCGGACGAAAAGGCGGGUAUCUCAUGGCGGGUCCGCCCCGCCUUUCGAACGCGCAACGGAACAUAGCGCAGCCG
This 1067-nucleotide long non-coding RNA is filed under the name Pandoravirus neocaledonia. RNAcentral describes it as "hypothetical ncRNA". The record is from RNAcentral.